CCACCCCCGCCGUCGUCGUCCGGCCAUCCCCACCGGUUGAAGAAGAAACUGGUAUUAAGCUAAACUUGGAGGACAUUGUUGAUCUUACUGCACUACUGUACCCUGACACUGGAUGCAGGAUGCUUCCUUCACCUGUUUACUGAAUUUGGAGGAACCAUCCGUCAAAGACCAGUUGAAGAAAUAAACUGAGUAGCAUAGACUAAUUGAAGAUCUCGCAUUUGGUGUUGCUCGCUUUGUACAGAAGGGCGGUUCUUUUAUCAACUACUACAUGGUAUGACAGAUAAAGGUUCACUUGUGUUUAGCUUCCCAAAGGCUGAUACUGAUUCUGGUUGUUUAAUUGAUUUUCAACUUUAAAAGUAUCAUGGAGGAACAAGUGGUUUUCAUGAUUUUGCAUUAAAGCAUGUUCUUUUAUUAUUAUUAAUGGAUCAAAUGAUCCUAUCAUUGAUUCUUCGAGGGCAGGGAUGUUACAAAGCUUAUAUUAAUGAUAACCCUAUUGGAUCAAAAGUUUGGUUAGCAUGACACAUUUUCUGUUUUGCUUACUUGCAUGCA
Long non-coding RNA from Oryza brachyantha (malo sina), 549 nucleotides. RefSeq lists it as uncharacterized. NCBI's taxonomy places the organism in Eukaryota, Viridiplantae, Streptophyta, Magnoliopsida, Poales, Poaceae. The record is from RefSeq and is a predicted model, not a curated record. The transcript has 3 exons.